GAAAUGCGAUACAUAAUGUGAAUUGCAGAAAUCAGUGAAUCAUCAAAUCUUUGAACGCACAUUGCACCUGAAGUAUCCCUUCAGGUACAUUUGUCUGAGUGUCCUUUUCUUUUAUUUAUCUAUUCAAUCUAAUGAUAUUGAUGUGCAUAGUCUAGAUAUGUACAUUUAAAAAUAUACUAGUUGAUACUUUAUGUCUGGGUAGAUUAUUUUGUAUUUUUACACUCGAAUCAACGUAGUAUUUAAAAAAAAAAGGUAGGAAUCAAUCUAAUACAAAGACCUCAGAUCAAAUGGCAAAACCCGCUGAAUUUAA
Molecule: unclassified non-coding RNA, 310 nt
Filed under: uncultured fungus
Lineage: Eukaryota; Fungi
Description: sequence contains ITS1
Rfam family: 5.8S ribosomal RNA (bases 1-104)
Source: RNAcentral